AGUGAACGCUGGCGGUAGGCCUAACACAUGCAAGUCGAACGGCAGCACAGAGGAGCUUGCUCCUUGGGUGGCGAGUGGCGGACGGGUGAGGAAUACAUCGGAAUCUACUCUAUCGUGGGGGAUAACGUAGGGAAACUUACGCUAAUACCGCAUACGACCUACGGGUGAAAGCAGGGGAUCUUCGGACCUUGCGCGAUUGAAUGAGCCGAUGUCGGAUUAGCUAGUUGGCGGGGUAAAGGCCCACCACGGCGACGAUCCGUAGCUGGUCUGAGAGGAUGAUCAGCCACACUGGAACUGAGACACGGUCCAGACUCCUACGGGAGGCAGCAGUGGGGAAUAUUGGACAAUGGGCGCAAGCCUGAUCCAGCCAUACCGCGUGGGUGAAGAAGGCCUUCGGGUCGUAAAGCCCUUUUGUUGGGAAAGAAAUCCAUCUGGUUAAUACCCGGGUGGGAUGACGGUACCCAAAGAAUAAGCACCGGCUAACUUCGUGCCAGCCGCCGCCGUAA
Molecule: ribosomal RNA, 506 nt
Filed under: uncultured bacterium
Lineage: Bacteria
Description: partial 16S ribosomal RNA
Rfam family: Bacterial small subunit ribosomal RNA
Source: RNAcentral